RNAcentral lists this RNase P RNA (411 nucleotides) under Aurantiacibacter aquimixticola. RNAcentral describes it as "Erythrobacter aquimixticola RNase P RNA component class A". It matches the Rfam family "Bacterial RNase P class A". From Rfam's summary of the family: Ribonuclease P (RNase P) is a ubiquitous endoribonuclease, found in archaea, bacteria and eukarya as well as chloroplasts and mitochondria. Its best characterised activity is the generation of mature 5'-ends of tRNAs by cleaving the 5'-leader elements of precursor-tRNAs. Cellular RNase Ps are ribonucleoproteins. Lineage: Bacteria; Pseudomonadati; Pseudomonadota; Alphaproteobacteria; Sphingomonadales; Erythrobacteraceae. The record is from RNAcentral.
CCGGGGAGCCGGGCAGCCGCGGGCCUUCGGGUCCGAGGAAAGUCCGGGCUCCACGAAACAAGGGUGGCGGGUAACGCCCGCCCGGUGAAGUUUUCGGACGAAGCCGAGGGAAAGUGCCACAGAGAGUAGACCGCCAAUGGCUCCUUCGGGAGGCAGGCAAGGGUGAAAGGGUGCGGCAAGAGCGCACCGGGGUUCCGGCAACGGCGCCCGUCAUGGCAAACCCCACCCGGAGCAAGACCGCGUAGGGGUCUCGCGCCCUCAAGGGGCAGUGGCGUUUCGCCGCGAGAGACCCGGGUUGGUCGCUGGAGCGCGUGGAGCAAUCCACCGCCUAGACGAAUGGCUGCCCCCGCGGCGCUGAUAGGUUCUAUAUCGGUCGCGGGACAGAACCCGGCUUACAGGCUCCCCGGCAUU